GAUGAACGCUGGUGGCGUGCUUAACACAUGCAAGUCGAACGGUGAAGCCAAGCUUGCUUGGUGGAUCAGUGGCGAACGGGUGAGUAACACGUGAGCAACCUGCCCUGGACUCUGGGAUAAGCGCUGGAAACGGCGUCUAAUACUGGAUAUGAGGCGUGAUCGCAUGGUCAACGUCUGGAAAGAUUUUUCGGUCUGGGAUGGGCUCGCGGCCUAUCAGCUUGUUGGUGAGGUAAUGGCUCACCAAGGCGUCGACGGGUAGCCGGCCUGAGAGGGUGACCGGCCACACUGGGACUGAGACACGGCCCAGACUCCUACGGGAGGCAGCAGUGGGGAAUAUUGCACAAUGGGCGGAAGCCUGAUGCAGCAACCGCCGCGUGAGGGAUGACGGCCUUCGGGUUGUAAACCUCUUUUAGCAGGGAAGAAGCGAAAGUGACGGUACCUGCAGAAAAAGCGCCGGCUAACUACGUGCCAGCAGCCGCGGUAAUACGUAGGGCGCAAGCGUUAUCCGGAAUUAUUGGGCGUAAAGAGCUCGUAGGCGGUUUGUCGCGUCUGCUGUGAAAUCCCGAGGCUCAACCUCGGGCCUGCAGUGGGUACGGGCAGACUAGAGUGCGGUAGGGGAGAUUGGAAUUCCUGGUGUAGCGGUGGAAUGCGCCGAUAUCAAGAGGAACACCGAUGGCGAAGGCAGAUCUCUGGGCCGUAACUGACGCUGAGGAGCGAAAGGGUGGGGAGCAAACAGGCUUAGAUACCCUGGUAGUCCACCCCGUAAACGUUGGGAACUAGUUGUGGGGACCAUUCCACGGUUUCCGUGACGCAGCUAACGCAUUAAGUUCCCCGCCUGGGGAGUACGGCCGCAAGGCUAAAACUCAAAGGAAUUGACGGGGACCCGCACAAGCGGCGGAGCAUGCGGAUUAAUUCGAUGCAACGCGAAGAACCUUACCAAGGCUUGACAUACACCAGAACGGGCCAGAAAUGGUCAACUCUUUGGACACUGGUGAACAGGUGGUGCAUGGUUGUCGUCAGCUCGUGUCGUGAGAUGUUGGGUUAAGUCCCGCAACGAGCGCAACCCUCGUUCUAUGUUGCCAGCACGUAAUGGUGGGAAC
Molecule: ribosomal RNA, 1100 nt
Filed under: Microbacterium sp. M331
Lineage: Bacteria; Bacillati; Actinomycetota; Actinomycetes; Micrococcales; Microbacteriaceae
Description: bacterial SSU rRNA
Rfam family: Bacterial small subunit ribosomal RNA
Source: RNAcentral